ACCCUGCAAAACCAUAGGUGGUUAUGCCUAUCUUAUAUGAAUUUUUUUUAUAAUUAGUAUUUUCAUUGUUGUUAGAUGAUAAAACAUGAUUAAUACUUUAUGCGUGACUUAUCUUUUUAAUUUUUUUCAUAAUUUUUUCAAAUAAGACGGACGGUCAAACGUUGGACACGGAAACCAGGGUUUGUCUUUUU
This is a non-coding RNA of Oryza glaberrima (African rice), 191 nucleotides long. The record is from Rfam. NCBI's taxonomy places the organism in Eukaryota, Viridiplantae, Streptophyta, Magnoliopsida, Poales, Poaceae.